Long non-coding RNA from Mercenaria mercenaria, 1822 nucleotides. RefSeq lists it as uncharacterized. The record is from RefSeq and is a predicted model, not a curated record. Lineage: Eukaryota; Metazoa; Mollusca; Bivalvia; Venerida; Veneridae. The transcript is spliced from 2 exons.
UGGAUAUCUUAAAAUUAAAUACAUACACGUCUUAAUUCUUACAAAUAGGAAUAUAGUGGUGACUAAUUGCAAACAUAAUCACACUACUACUUUACAUUCAUAAACUGGCAUACUUGUUUCUAUCAAUUUUUCAGGAAACGUGAAAAACAAUGUUCGCGCUGCAACAUGUUAAGAGUACCAUAUGUGUCUUAUCGACUUGUGGUGGGUUAUGAAUAGAAUUUCAGAACCCUGUGUUUCAACAAAUACUGACAUUACGUUUCAAAAACCUGAAUAUGAUUCAUAUAAUUUUUGUCAAUAAUUUCUGUAAUUUUUACUCGAAAAAAUACGUGCAAGUAUGACAAGUUUUUUACCAACUAGAUCUAUUGGCUAUAUAAUUCUGCGGAAAGAUACAUACAGCGGACUACUAUAUAGCGGACUACUCUCUUGCAUCUGAUUCUGCGUCAAAUCUGCUAUUGAGAAAUUAGUGCACAGUUAGCUAAAUAUAUGAUUAUAACUCACUUGCAUUUUCAAAAAUUCCGCAGAGCUUAAAAAUUCUUAUUGUUAGCCAUGUAACAUCAUGAUGUUACACGCUUGAAAAUUACACACACGUCUAAAAUAGAUAAUAUUUCCGUUAGAAAAUAUUAAUAGUAGCUAGGUAACAUGAUAAUAUUACAUCCCAAAAUUCCCACAUGUCUAAAAAUAGAUAUCAGGUUUUCCAGUAAUCAUUUUGCAAUCUCUAUGUAUUUUCGGUAUAAUAGAAUAAGUAUAUCCACGGUGAGGAUGCGUACACCGGAUAUUGCCAUUUAGUGAUAAGGUAUUUUUCGAAAACGUGUUUAUUUUUCGUCAACUAGAUUCAACUUGUGUAUGUGUGUUUAUGACUGGCUCGACGAACGAAUUUAAGGACUUUCUAUGUCAUUUUGUUGAACACCACCCAAAUGACGAGAAUAUAUUCGUAUGCUAACGACCAAAACCGCAAAAAAGUAAAUUACAAGAUAGCACCAGACAUAUGCAGCGAAAAAAAAGCAGAAAAAAUACUGUUGAUUCAGAAAAUAUUAACAUACAUGUUUUAAAAAGGAACCCGAUUACAAAAGGGACCAACUUGCAACAGAAAGAAACCUUUGAUUUGGGCAAAUAGUGAGGAGCCUGUUCACUGACUGUAGUGGAAAUGUAGGCUACCUACCACGCCAUCUAGCUCAAUAUUUACACAAUGCUACCAGUACAAAAAUAUAAUCUAGAGACACAUUCACGGCGGUGUACAUGGAACUUUCAAUGUUACACAGAGUGCAAUUUCCAUGGACAGACAAGGUUUUCGGACAGUAUUUUUACACAGUCUAUGAAAGAAUGAGACAAAAUAGAUGAAUGAAUAAAUAGCCUUUAAUCAGUUUGUUUGCCAAGAAACGUUUUCUUUAACUGAUUUUAUAGUUUCCUAUAUUUUUUGACGUCGCAAAAUCUUUUUAUCGACAACUUGGUUAAUAUGAGGUAUAGUGAAGACUGCAAGUUGUUUUGAAGAGCAGGCUUAUAACUCUUCCAGUGAAAUUACAAUUAUACAACUGCUUGCAUAACAGAGACAGCAUUUCUGCCGCUAAAUUAAGAGGGAAGAGAAAAGCAAACAGACAAAUACUUAUUGACAUUAAAAGAAGUAGCUAGUAACUGCAUAAAUGUGAUGAGUGUACAUUACUUCCACAUAAGACUGGGCAUUGAUACUGAAAUAGGUUCUGUUGUGACAGAUUUAUUUUACCAAACAUUAUUUGACAAGCAAUAUUGUAAAAGCCAUGGUUUACUUUGAUAAAGAACAAAUAGUCAUGUACAUUGAAAUAUUUAUUAAACAAACUUGAAACCUAGA